Molecule: non-coding RNA, 641 nt
Organism: Nothobranchius furzeri (turquoise killifish)
Lineage: Eukaryota; Metazoa; Chordata; Actinopteri; Cyprinodontiformes; Nothobranchiidae
Source: RefSeq, a predicted model, not a curated record
UGAGCUGGGAGGUGAGCACUCCACACACACCAUGACAUCACCUGGCUUGUGAGUUCUGUUUUCAGGAGAGAGAGCAGCAGCUGCAAUCAAUCAGCUGAUCAGUGGGUGGCCUUCAUAAGGAGGACGGAGGACACUGCUAAGCCGCCGGAUGAUUACGCCUACUGGUAGAGUCCCAGCCACAGUGUUAACUCGAUUUUGAAACCUUGACUUUGAACUGUCGGAACUUAGACUUUGAACUUUGAAACCUUAGCCUUGAACUUUAGAAACGUGUUUUUUGCUAGCGAUCUUUUGCUCAGAUUUUGUUCUCGUUUUGUCUCAGGCUCAGUCAUCUUUCCAUACACCACCUCCUCGCUGAGACCUUUUGGAUUUACUACUCGACCAUACUACGUCUGGACUUCACUCCCGGUUCCCGUCCUCCUCACGGCACUAACUGCUCCCAGCACUACAGGCUCUCUCUCUCCUUCCCUCCGGUUGUAAAACCUUGCCGAUCUUCAUCACCCCGGAAUACUCAUUCACUCUCCCAGCUCACCCCUCCCUGGAGAUCCUCCACCACGCUACAGCUACGCUGCUCCCGUUUACCCAUUCACUGGAUUUCCAGUGCACCCUAAGUUCUAGUUACCAAAUAAAUCUUUAUUUUUUCA